Molecule: ribosomal RNA, 210 nt
Filed under: uncultured bacterium
Lineage: Bacteria
Description: partial 16S ribosomal RNA
Rfam family: Bacterial small subunit ribosomal RNA
Source: RNAcentral
UUCGGAUUGUAGUCUGCAACCCGACUACAUGAAGCUGGAAUCGCUAGUAAUCGCGGAUCAGAAUGCCGCGGUGAAUACCGUUCCCGGGUCUUGUACACACCGCCCGUCACACCAUGGGAGUCGGAAAUGCCCGAAGUCUGUGACCCAACCUUAGGGAGGGAGCAGCCGAAGGCAGGUCGGAUGACUGGGGUGAAGUCGUAACAAGGUAUC